CCGGCGACCGGCGCACGGGUGAGUAACGCGUAUGCAACCUGCCCGUUUCAGCGGGAUAACCCGGAGAAAUCCGGCCUAAUACCGCAUGUGGCCGAGGGAGGCAUCUUCUUUCGGCCAAAGGAGGCAACUCCGGAGACGGAUGGGCAUGCGUGACAUUAGCUUGUUGGCGGGGUAACGGCCCACCAAGGCGACGAUGUCUAGGGGUUCUGAGAGGAAGGUCCCCCACACUGGUACUGAGACACGGACCAGACUCCUACGGGAGGCAGCAG
Molecule: ribosomal RNA, 269 nt
Filed under: uncultured bacterium
Lineage: Bacteria
Description: partial 16S ribosomal RNA
Rfam family: Bacterial small subunit ribosomal RNA
Source: RNAcentral